Molecule: transfer RNA, 73 nt
Filed under: Cavia porcellus (domestic guinea pig)
Lineage: Eukaryota; Metazoa; Chordata; Mammalia; Rodentia; Caviidae
Rfam family: tRNA
About the family: Transfer RNA (tRNA) molecules are approximately 80 nucleotides in length.
Source: Rfam by way of RNAcentral
GGGGGUUUAGCUCAGCAGCUCAAGCGCUCGCCUGGUAAGCGUGAGGUCCUGAGUUUGAUCCCCAGUACCGCCC